UAGGGAAUUUUCGUCAAUGGGGGCAACCCUGAACGAGCAAUGCCGCGUGAGCGAAGAAGGUCUUCGGAUUGUAAAGCUCUGUUUGCCGGGGAAAAAGGAAGGAAAGAGGAAAUGCUUUUCUUUGGAUGGUACCCGGCCAGAAAGUCACGGCUAACUACGUGCC
Molecule: ribosomal RNA, 163 nt
Filed under: uncultured bacterium
Lineage: Bacteria
Description: partial 16S ribosomal RNA
Rfam family: Bacterial small subunit ribosomal RNA
Source: RNAcentral